CUGGAUUCCGCCUUGUCUUUUGGUGUCACUUGGGGAAAGAAAGAAAUUCGACUGUGCCCCAGGAGUAACUUCCAAGCUGCUCAGGGAAGGGAUCUGCCCCCGCAGAGUCUGAAGUCCAUCAAGUCAGUUGCAUAAAAUAUCAAAGGGCACCCUUUGCCACAAACAUGCAGAGGAGGAAGUCCUCCUCCAGGACAGGAAGUCAGUGAUGGAGUUAGGUCUUCUCUUUAUAACACCCAGAACAGUUGACACAAAACAACAGUACAGGUGAGAGGUGAGUGAGUAAAUUCAUUAGUUGCCCUACAUUCUGCAAGUUAUUUUUUUUUCUUUGCUGCGGAAAUAUUUUCUUUUGUGUAAACCCUACUGACUGUGGCUCCUAGCUUUGGAUUCUGAAGUGAGAGGCAGGCUGAAAUCUGGGGAAUCUCGGCCAGUAGGCUUUGCACAUACCUCCGUGUUGAGGGAAGAGUGAGGGAGCAGAAUGAUCACUGGAGAAACCACAUCUCCAAGCCUUACCAUGGGCCAACAGAGCAGGACCCUUGCUUCCCUCUGGAGGUCUCUGGAGGAAGAGGGAGCUUCCCUCCUCAGUAUCAUUAACACCCCCACCUCUCUGAAGAUGUCUCAACAAAUCUCAAACACAAUAUGGUUGUCUACUUCUGAUUCAAUUUAGGACUACCCAACCCAAACUCAAGAAAUAUAAUCCUUUUAGCAAUUUUAUAACAAUAUUCACAAAGAACAGCAUGGUGGACCCUGUGUGUGCCUACCUCAGAAUCCUGCACUUAUUUCACCUGUUCCUCUCAUGUUUUUUCCCCCAGAAAUAACUUUCAAAUCUACUCCAUCAAGCAAGUUGAGGUUCACAGUUGAAAUUGAAAUUUUCCAAAUACCUUCAGGUUGAGAGGGUCUAAAUACUUUCUUUUGUUUAUUUUUCACUUACAGGAGGCGGUUUGUUCUCAGCCCUUCAAAAACUCAUUGAAAAGUCAUAUUGUAAUGAGCAAACUUCAGACCCGAUUGCCAAAUUUAUAUUCAGGAAAACAACAUUUUUCUAUUUUCUAGCUUUCCUUGGAAAAUGUUCCAUUUUUCUUUAAGCUCUCAUUUUCUGGGUGAACAUACCAGUAUGGCUCCAUCUCUGUUGGGGUCUCCACAUGGUGAUCACUGGUGAGUGCCUUGUUGAUUCUGGACAUAGAACUUUAAAAAUAUUGAUUGUCUUUACUCAAAAAUGAAAUUCAUAAAAAUCUGACUCAGAGGAGGUUUGGACAGACAUUCCAUGAACUAUUUCAUAAAUACCUACUGUGUUGUAGGAGGUUGACCUCCCGAUCACCUCCAUUCCUGCCCAGCAGUCUGUACUUCCAUGCUGGAAGCUAGGGAAGGAAGCAUCCUGGCUUGACUCCUGGGUCUGCUGAUAGCUGUGAACACUAGUGGCUCACGUCCUUGACAGCACCAGCUUCAGCGUUGGAUCUGAUAUCCUGCCACAGAUGGACAGCUCAUGUGAUGAGAACAAGUGGCUGAUAAGUGCUUUAAGUUCUGUGUUCCCCACAUCACAGGGAGUUUUGUACUAUCGCUGCUCAAAGCAGAAAUGAGAGGCCAUGACAGGACUUCCUCCUCUGCCUGACCUCCUGGGACUGCAGGAUCUCAAGGAGGUCAUCCAGACAGGUUAAAUGACUCAGCUCUGGUUCCUGCUGGUUAGUGGGGGAGCUAGAGUGUUUUGAAAGAAAUUUUCUUGUUCAUCUUUUUCUUGCAACCAAAAUGGUUGUGAGAAGGAAACAGAUUUACCAAAAGUUUUGGUGAAACAUCAUUGGUGUUCACUGAUAUUCUGCUUCUGGGAUAAAGGGAUUCUAGGAGUAAUUAAUUAAAUUAAUAACUGGUUUCAAAAUGCUCCAUCAAGCAUAGCUAUUACUGAAUUAAAAAACCUAGUGUCAAUUUUAGUUCAACAUAAUAAGAAAACUUCAUGUUAUAUUUUGCUUUGGUAUCAAACUUACUUCUCUAUAGAGAGCUUACUUUUUCCUGUCUAAAAAGUUACCUUAUUGUUGCUAAAAAGAUCUACUUCCAGUUGUAAUAUCCAUCAUGUUAAAAUAAUUUUGGUUCUUAUUUUCUUCUUAAAGGUUUUGUACAUCAUCAUAGUUGAAAAGAUAGAAGAAUCCUAUAUGGUGGUGCGUCUCUCAGUGGGGUUUUAAUGGCAAAGGAGCAACUAGUUUGCCUUUCUUGCCCCGUGUCAGGGAGGAAACUUUUCCUCUACCCUGUUAUAUUCUGUGUUUAGAGACCUGAAAAUUAAACUGUCAAACAGAUUAGUAAAAGAAGAUACAGAUGUUCAGAGAAAAAUGGAACUCAGAUGGCAGUAAGAACCUGAGGAUUCUGUACCAUAUUAAUAGGGCACAGGGUGGGGCACAGGGGCACUUCUGGGGGAAAAGAUGGAUUCUUAGAAGGUGGAGAGAAAGGACACUUAUGGAAAGACAAAAGAACUUUUUGAAAGAUAAAUGUGCCCUUAGAUGACUAGAUAGGAGACAGUUUUGUGAUAGCUUCUGGAUACCCAGUGCUGCCUCCAAGAGAUUAGAGUUGCUCUUAGGGGAUUUGGGAUGAUUGAGUUCUUCAAGGAGACUCUACUUCUAGGCAGAUAAGGGAUUUCAGGAACUCACAUGCCUUCAGCUCAAAAUAAAUCAAAUGUCCUAGUGGCUCAUUGUAGACCCCUUAACCCACGAACCCCACACUCCCCCAAUACAGUCCAGCUCCUUUUAUGCUUCAAGCAUUUCAUGUUUAUUUUCUUCUAAGAAUUCUGUGAAAUCUUCAUUAAGCAUCUCUCAAUCUUCAAAUUUUUGUAGAGAAAAUUUACUUAUAGGCCUGGUUAGCACCAUUGAAUAUUAAGUGUAUUAAAUGUCAUGCUCCUAACAUGAGCAGUAUUAGCAUGUAAGGAGGAACUCUAGAACUAAUGACUUUUUUUUUUUUUAAAAAAAGACAUCAUACACUGCAAUUUUGAUUAUCUGCAGCUCUGGAUACCUUAUUCACAAUGCAUUAAAAUUAGGUAUAAUGUACAUUUUAUAUGUAAAAUCAGAAGCACAGUUGUAAUUUGAAGAAUAAGAAUAGUACAUAAAAUUGAGAUAGUGCAUACAUUCUUUAUUGUCACAAAGAGAAAUUGGAAAUGUCCAUUUAAGCUUUUAGUAUUAUGACCAAGGUUCAGGGUCUCCUACACAAAGUAAAGAUACAUGGAACAGAACCCUAGGCAAGAUGCUACAUUAUGAAUUAAUAAAACUUCAAGGCUAGAUGAUUGUUAUUUUUUCUCCCUGUCUUUAUAUGCAAGGAGAAAAAUUACUUUUGUGUUUUUUUUAAACCAAUAAGGUAAAAAAGUAGAAAAUUUUAUCUUUGGUUUAAAGGCUAGAAAUCCUGAAAUAAAUGCUUGCAUAUAAAAAUCUUAUGAAGGCCAAGACACAGAAUUAGCUAAUGCUAAAUUCUAUGUGCAUGAAAUAAGUAAUUUAUAUUCCAUACAAGUCAUAACUGCAAGGAAGGGAUCUGUUCCCUGGUUAUCCUGAGUAUUGCCUGCCUAGUAUUAGUUUAGCCUGGGUUCUCGUGAGUCCCACCUAGAUCAAGGGUGGAAGGGAUUAUACUUCAAUGGGGGCCACCAGAACAGCAACUGUGAGGAAAACAGGAAUUGAAUCAGGGAGGACAUGCACUGUGCAGGUGACACACCUGUACUGGCUAUCACUGCACCAGAUGCUGGGAGAGAGAAAGAGCAGUGUGACAGGUGUGUCCCGUUCAUAGACAUUCUGAGAAGUCUGUGAGGAGGAGAAAGGAAAGAAAGAAUCUGUCAGUCCAUCUCUUGUUGCCCUCUGGUCAAAGCUCACCCCACAGUUAUUAAUGUGCUUCCAGCCAAGGGGCUGAACCACCUGGCCACAAGGAGUCCAUAUUGAAUACAGAUCCGAGCCCCACAGUGGAAAGUUACAUCUGAGUCUGGAAGUGGCAGGAAGUGUCUGAACCCCUGGGUACAAGCACUCGGCCUUGUUAGAUGUUGGGGAGCCCAAAGGUUGGAGCCAAGAUGCCAAGGUCAAGAGGCCAGUCAGCCCCAGGUAGCAGAACCAUGAGGUCCUGAAAAGUUGUUUGGUGGACAAAGCUGAGGUGGAGCCAGUGUCUGGAGACCCAGAGAGCAGGUGGCCCCAGCGAGCUUUGAGAAGGCACCUGAGGUUUGAGUCUGACACAGUUGUCCAGUGCAUUAUUUUUCUUCGGCUUUUAUAUGUUUGAAAUAUUUAAUCAUCAAAAAUGAUUUGGGGGGGGGGGUAGAUGCUCCCUAUAGUUAGAGGUUACCUAGCAAUUUUCAUUAUUCUCAGUAUAAGUGCAUAGAAAUCACCUGAGAAUUUAUAAGUAAUUCAGACUCCUCAGCAAUCCCCCCAAAUACUCUGAUUUGAAAGUUCUGAGAGGCCAGGGAAUCUGCAUAUUAAAUAUUCACUUUCCCCCAGUGCAUAAAACAUUGACAUAAAUGGUUCAAAGACUAUGUAUGGUUUAAGGAACAUUGCUUUAAUGAUUUUGAAACCCAUAAGAUCCUUUGGCUAUUUGAUGGUUAUAAGGCAUGUUGGCCUUCAGGUACAAUGUGUGCUGGCCAAGUAGCCUGGGCAAUAGGGGACCCGAGUUUUAAAUAGCUGUAGCAUUUAUUAGCAAUAUGCUUUCUACCAAUUGAGUUAAUUGCAUUGAUGAAUUCAUUGACCCUAACUAAAACUGGAUUAACUUUUCUGACACUUAAUGACAGAAUUCUGAAGAUCAAUUUUUAUGCAAAUGCUACGAAUUGAAAAAUAGGAUUCAAAGCAGGAGACUGAUAUUAUUAUCUUUUACAUUGUUGCAAAAUGAGAUUUUUCCCAAACCUAGUUUCUUUAAGACUGAGAAAAUGCAUUCAUUCAGUGUAUUCGUAAAUGUAAAACUCACUUUCUUGACUUCAAAAAUAAUUGCCCAGUUAGGAAAAUCUAAAAUUGGCACUUUCUCUGUAAUUUUGAUAAUUUGAUUUGUUUCUACUUGAUUUUCUGUGGUUAUAAGAGAUUUUUAGAUUUUAUGUUUAUCAUAUCCUGUGAAUUUUAUGCCUAGUUAUGUUGUUCCUCUGACAGAGUGUCACAAAGAGAAAAGAAUCUUAUAUUCCUAGGGAAACUAAGUCCAUCAGGGUUAAAAAUUCAUGAAGGAGACAAUUGACAAUUUGCUUUGCGCUUUAUCUUGGCUGCAGUAAUGAAUAAAGGGGCCACCAUGGAAAAUGAGAUCAGCAAGGGCUUGAUUAAAGCUGUAAGUUGGAAGGAAAAAAUGAGGAAAUGGGAUUGAUAUCUUCCUUCUUCUCAAUCUCAAUGUGAAAAGACAAAGCCCAGAAGCUAGUUAAGAACCUGAGACAAGGAACCAAAUUAUAAGGAUUUUGCAGUUUUCUCAUUUCCUAUUAUUAUUUUUAGUCAUUUUCAUCUUUUUUUGGCAAUUUAGGAAAAGGAAGUAAUAUUUUUAAAAUGAUUGUUAUAAUUGAACAUUUUGAAAGGUAUGGGCUAUAGCUAAAGCAAUCCAUAGAGGCAAAUUUAUAGCUUAAAAAAUUCCUGUAUUGAUUUUUAAAAAGAUGUUUAAAAAUACAUUGUGUAAGUUUUCAUAGAUAGAAUAAACAAAGUAAAUUGAACCCAAUGUAAGUAGAAGGAAAUCAUAAACAUAGAUAAAAUUAAUAGAGUCAAAAAUUGAUUCUUUGGAAAAUAUGUAAAUAUUUCAAACUUUGUGGUUAAUUCCAUAGGAAGACUGCAUAUGAAAAAAAAACCCCACAAAAGUCCUAUAUCAUGAAUACAAGGGGGAUAUCGCUAUAUAUAAUAUAGAUAUUGGAAGAUAAUAAAUGUUAUAAGCAAUAUAUGAUAAUAAAUUUGACAACUUAGAGUUUUUAUAAAAUGAAACAGUCUUUGAAAAACCCUAUACCAAACUGAAAAGAUGAACUAAAAAUACAAAUAUCCUUUAUGUCAACUGAAAGAAUUGAUUUUUAAAAAAUUGCUUCAGAGAUGAUUUUACUGGUGAAUUUUGUGAAAUGUAUUUUUUUCCCCUCCUAGUUCAAGUAGGUUUUUGUUCUUUUCCUUAAACAAAAGGAAACUUAUUGUAGAAAAAGGUCAGUAAGUGAGGAACCAUAUCCUUGAACCUGUGGUUGGUCCAAGAGUCAGCAGUUAACUUAGGUGGAACUCUGGAUUUGUUUGGUGAUUUGAGGACAUGACAUGAUCUAUCCCCUUGGGUGCAAAUGAGAAGCAUCAGGCUGCAGUCAUUCUGAUUAUCAUUUUGUGACCAAGAGAGAAAGAAAGGUGAGGAUGAUGCCAACUCAAGGAGCAAAGGUAGCAGAGAGAACCUCAGAAGCAGCUUGUAACCCUGACACCAUUACCAUGAACUUCAAGGUUAGACUGUCACUCCCAGCCAGCCACAUGUCUUUUCAUUUGUACAAAACAACAUUUUCAUUAUUGUGUAAGUUAAUUGAACUGAGUUUUAUGUUACUUGCAAUGUUUUAAUAGAUCUAAUGUUUUGAUACUUAAUACAGCAAAUCCUCCAUCAUCAUUUAUCAUCUCUCCCCGCAAAAGCCCUGGAUUUUUCUAACGCUUUCUUUCUUGUUUAAAUAAAUUUUAAAUUUGUUUUAAUUAGUUAUUCAUGAC
Molecule: long non-coding RNA, 6605 nt
Filed under: Marmota monax (woodchuck)
Lineage: Eukaryota; Metazoa; Chordata; Mammalia; Rodentia; Sciuridae
Source: RNAcentral